AACGAACGCUGGCGGUAUGCUUAACACAUGCAAGUCGAACGGGCUUAGGGGCAACUCUAAGCUAGUGGCAAACGGGUGAGUAAUGCAGAGGAAUCUUCCUAGCAGUAAGGAAUAAUUUUGGGAAACCAAAACUAAUACCAUAUAUCACCGACCUAGUCGGGAAAGAUUUAUCGCCGUUAGAUGAGCCUCUGUCAGAUUAGCUAGUUGGUGAGGUAAUGGCUCACCAAGGCGACGAUCUGUAGCUGGUCUG
RNAcentral lists this ribosomal RNA (250 nucleotides) under uncultured bacterium. Its description in RNAcentral is "partial 16S ribosomal RNA". It matches the Rfam family "Bacterial small subunit ribosomal RNA", at positions 29 to 294 of the family's 1533-position model. The record is from RNAcentral.